GCAUAUCAAUAAGCGGAGGAAAAGAAACUAACAAGGAUUCCCCUAGUAACUGCGAGUGAAGCGGGAAAAGCUCAAAUUUAAAAUCUGGCGGUCUUCGGCCGUCCGAGUUGUAAUCUGGAGAAGCGUUUUCCGCGCUGGACCGUGUACAAGUCUCUUGGAACAGAGCGUCAUAGAGGGUGAGAAUCCCGUCUUUGACACGGACUACCAGUGCUAUGUGAUGCGCUCUCGAUGAGUCGAGUUGUUUGGGAAUGCAGCUCAAAAUGGGUGGUAAAUUCCAUCUAAAGCUAAAUAUUGGCGAGAGACCGAUAGCGAACAAGUACCGUGAGGGAAAGAUGAAAAGCACUUUGGAAAGAGAGUUAAACAGUACGUGAAAUUGCUGAAAGGGAAACGAUUGAAGUCAGUCGCGUGUGCUAGAACUCAGCCUUGCUUUUGCUUGGUGCAUUUUCUAGUGUACGGGCCAGCAUCAGUUUUGGCCGCCGGAAAAAGGCCUUGGGAAUGUGGCACCUUCGGGUGUGUUAUAGCCCUUGGUUGUAUACGGUGGCUGGGACUGAGGAACAUAGCAUGCCUUUAUGGCGGGGCUUCGGCCACCUUCAUGCUUUGGAUGCUGGCGUAAUGGCUUUAAACGACCCGUCUUGAAACACGGACCAAGGAGUCUAACAUGCCUGCGAGUGUUUGGGUGGAAAACCCGAGCGCGUAAUGAAAGUGAAAGUUGGGACUUCUGUCGUGGAAGGCACCGACGCCCGGACCAGACCUUCUGUGACGGAUCCGCGGUAGAGCAUGUAUGUUGGGACCCGAAAGAUGGUGAACUAUGCCUGAAUAGGGUGAAGCCAGAGGAAACUCUGGUGGAGGCUCGUAGCGAUUCUGACGUGCAAAUCGAUCGUCAAAUUUGGGUAUAGGGGCGAAAGACUAAUCGAACCAUCUAGUAGCU
This 928-nucleotide ribosomal RNA is filed under the name Bjerkandera adusta. Its description in RNAcentral is "LSU rRNA". It matches the Rfam family "Eukaryotic large subunit ribosomal RNA", at positions 38 to 952 of the family's 3401-position model. Lineage: Eukaryota; Fungi; Basidiomycota; Agaricomycetes; Polyporales; Phanerochaetaceae. The record is from RNAcentral.